UCCCUGGUGAUCAAGUAGCUAAGACUCUGCACUCCCAAGGCAGGGGGCCUGGGUUCAAUACCUGGUCAGGGAA
Molecule: transfer RNA, 73 nt
Filed under: Ovis aries (sheep)
Lineage: Eukaryota; Metazoa; Chordata; Mammalia; Artiodactyla; Bovidae
Rfam family: tRNA
About the family: Transfer RNA (tRNA) molecules are approximately 80 nucleotides in length. Their secondary structure includes four short double-helical elements and three loops (D, anti-codon, and T loops).
Source: Rfam by way of RNAcentral